This 1161-nucleotide ribosomal RNA is filed under the name Methanobacteriota archaeon. Its description in RNAcentral is "bacterial SSU rRNA". It matches the Rfam family "Archaeal small subunit ribosomal RNA", at positions 314 to 1478 of the family's 1478-position model. Lineage: Archaea; Methanobacteriati; Methanobacteriota. The record is from RNAcentral.
AUCCAGGCCCUACGGGGCGCAGCAGUCGCGAAAACUCCACAAUGUGGGAAACCACGAUGGGGGAACUCCCAGUGCGCGCACUUUGUGCGCGCUGUUCUUCUGCCUAAAAAGCAGGAGAAGGAAGGGCCGGGUAAGACGGGUGCCAGCCGCCGCGGUAAUACCCGCGGCCCGAGUGGUGCUCAUUAUUAUUGAGUCUAAAACGUCCGUCGCCGGUCGGGUAGAUUCCUGGGUAAAUCGAGCUGCUCAACGGUUCGAAUUCCGGGGAGACCGCCCGACUAGGGACCGGGAGAGGCGCGAGGUACUCCUGGGGUAGGGGUAAAAUCCUGUAAUCCUGGGAGGACCACCAGUGGCGAAAGCGUCGCGCUAGAACGGAUCCGACGGUCAGGGACGAAGGCCAGGGGCGCAAACGGGAUUAGAUACCCCGGUAGUCCUGGCUGUAAACGCUGCAGGCUUGGUGUUGGGGGUCCUACGGGGGCUCCCGGUGCCGGAGCGAAGGUGUUAAGCCUGCUACUUGGGGAGUACGGUCGCAAGACUGAAACUUAAAGGAAUUGGCGGGGGAGCACCGCAACGGGAGGAGCGUCCGGUUCAAUUGGAUUCAACGCCGGAAAACUCACCGGGGGCGACCCUUACAUGAAGGCCAGGCUGAUGACCUUGCCUGAUUUUGGGAGAGGUGGUGCAUGGCCGUCGUCAGUUCGUACCGUGAGGCGUUCUGUCAAGUCAGAUAACGAACGAGACCCUCGCCCUUAGUUGCCCGUCCGCCCUCCGGGGUGGGCGCACACUAGGGGGACCGCUGGCGCUAAGCCAGAGGAAGGGGAGGUCGACGGUAGGUCCGUAUGCCCCGAAUCCCCCGGGCUACACGGGCGCUACAAAGGUUGGGACAAUGGGCUCCGACCCCGAGAGGGGAAGGCAAUCCCGAAACCCAAUCGUAGUUCGGACUGAGGGCUGUAACUCGCCCUCACGAAGAUGGAUUCCGUAGUAAUCGCGUGUCAACAUCACGCGGUGAAUAGGCCCCUGCUCCUUGCACACACCGCCCGUCAAGCCACCCGAGUUGGGCCUGAGUGAUGGUGCCGUUCUUGCGGCGCUAGAACUUAGGUCCAGCAAGGAGGGCUAAGUCGUAACAAGGUAUCUGUAGGGGAACCUGCAGAUGGAUCACCUCCUAAG